AGGGAUGCCCAUGGAUCUGCAGCCUGGGAAAUCCUGUGGCGCUCUGGGAGACAACUCCACAUACCAAUUACGGAACAUAGAAUAACUCCAAAGCAACUUUUUCCUGGUUGGCUUCCUGUUGUCUUCAUUGAACAGAUAGGAACAGUGACAAGAAAUACAACUUGCCCAGAUUUUGAUUCAACUGCAGGGGACACGGGUUCGAGCCCUGGUCUGGGAAGAUCCCACAUGCAGCGGAGCAACUAAGCCCGUGAGCCACAACUACUGAGCCUGCGCGUCUGGAGCCUGUGCUCCGCAACGGGAGAAGCCGUGACAGUGAGAGGCCCGCUCACUGCGAUGAAGAGUGGCCCCCGCUCGCCGCAGCUGGAGAAAGUCCACGCACAGAAACGAAGACCCAACACAGCCAAAAAUAAAUAAAUAAGAGAAAUAAAAUAAAAUAAAGAAUCAGUUCGAAGAUAUUAGAAUAAAUGAAGCUGUUGUUUUUUGCUACCAUCACUAACGGUAGGACAAUUCUAAUAAAAGACUUAAGCUAGAGGAAGAGCUAAUCGUGGAAUGUAGGGCACUCUGAUGUGGAGCGGCUCUGCAGAGACGGCCAGUUCUGCCUCUGCUUGAGUCCAGGUCUCAGUCCGUGGUCAGCUGGGAGCACUGGGAGACCAGGCCACAGGGACAAGGAAACAAGCUGUGAAAAGGACCCAAUGUUAGAUAAAUAAAUGAAUAAAUGCAGUGCCCACCUGGUCUCCCUGUCCGGACUGAUGGAGGAGUCGAGGCCAGCCACGGCCGUUGUCGUCGUCGUCCUUCAGUCCCUCAGGAAUGCAAAGGAAACAGCGCUCACACUGCAGUGUCUUACUGAUCGUCCAGGAGGUUCCCGUGCCCCACCAAGUCUGAACAAG
Lagenorhynchus albirostris (white-beaked dolphin) is the source of this 887-nucleotide long non-coding RNA. RefSeq lists it as uncharacterized. The record is from RefSeq and is a predicted model, not a curated record. NCBI's taxonomy places the organism in Eukaryota, Metazoa, Chordata, Mammalia, Artiodactyla, Delphinidae. The transcript has 3 exons.